Molecule: ribosomal RNA, 253 nt
Filed under: uncultured archaeon
Lineage: Archaea
Description: partial 16S ribosomal RNA
Rfam family: Archaeal small subunit ribosomal RNA
Source: RNAcentral
AACCAGCACCUCAAGUGGUCAGGAUGAUUAUUGGGCCUAAAGCAUCCGUAGCCUGUUCUGUAAGUUCUCGGUUAAAUCUAUGCGCUCAACGUAUAGGCUGCCGAAAAUACUGCAGAACUAGGGAGUGGGAGAGGUAGACGGUACUCGGUAGGAAGGGGUAAAAUCCUUUGAUCUAUUGAUGACCACCUGUGGCGAAGGCGGCCUUCUGGUCUGAUACUGACGCUGAGAUACGAAAGCCAGGGGAGCGAACGGG